UACCUGGUUGAUCCUGCCAGUACUAUAUGCUUGUCUCAAAGCCUAAGCCAUGCA
This 54-nucleotide non-coding RNA is filed under the name Naegleria gruberi. Its description in RNAcentral is "Eukaryotic small subunit ribosomal RNA". It matches the Rfam family "Eukaryotic small subunit ribosomal RNA", at positions 1 to 55 of the family's 1831-position model. The record is from Rfam by way of RNAcentral. Lineage: Eukaryota; Heterolobosea; Eutetramitea; Acrasida; Naegleriidae.